This 207-nucleotide ribosomal RNA is filed under the name uncultured bacterium. Its description in RNAcentral is "partial 16S ribosomal RNA". It matches the Rfam family "Bacterial small subunit ribosomal RNA", at positions 568 to 774 of the family's 1533-position model. The record is from RNAcentral.
CGUGUAGGCGGCCAAUUAAGCUAGGUGUAAAAUGUUACAGCUCAACUGUAAACCCGCAUCUAGAACUGGUUGGCUAGAGGAUGAGAGAGGAAAGUGGAAUUCCUAGUGUAGCGGUGGAAUGCGUAGAUAUUAGGAGGAACACCAGUGGCGAAGGCGGCCUACUGGGCACCAACUGACGCUGAGGCUCGAAAGUGUGGGUAGCAAACA